GACGAACGCUGGCGGCGUGCCUAACACAUGCAAGUCGAACGGAAAGGCCCUGCUUUUGUGGGGUGCUCGAGUGGCGAACGGGUGAGUAACACGUGAGUAACCUGCCCUUGACUUUGGGAUAACUUCAGGAAACUGGGGCUAAUACCGGAUAGGAGCUCCUGCUGCAUGGUGGGGGUUGGAAAGUUUCGGCGGUUGGGGAUGGACUCGCGGCUUAUCAGCUUGUUGGUGGGGUAGUGGCUUACCAAGGCUUUGACGGGUAGCCGGCCUGAGAGGGUGACCGGCCACAUUGGGACUGAGAUACGGCCCAGACUCCUACGGGAGGCAGCAGUGGGGAAUAUUGCACAAUGGGCGGAAGCCUGAUGCAGCAACGCCGCGUGCGGGAUGACGGCCUUCGGGUUGUAAACCGCUUUCGCCUGUGACGAAGCGUGAGUGACGGUAAUGGGUAAAGAAGCACCGGCUAACUACGUGCCAGCAGCCGCGGUGAUACGUAGGGUGCGAGCGUUGUCCGGAUUUAUUGGGCGUAAAGGGCUCGUAGGUGGUUGAUCGCGUCGGAAGUGUAAUCUUGGGGCUUAACCCUGAGCGUGCUUUCGAUACGGGUUGACUUGAGGAAUUUAGGGGAGAAUGGAAUUCCUGGUGGAGCGGUGGAAUGCGCAGAUAUCAGGAGGAACACCAGUGGCGAAGGCGGUUCUCUGGGCCUUUCCUGACGCUGAGGAGCGAAAGCGUGGGGAGCGAACAGGCUUAGAUACCCUGGUAGUCCACGCUGUAAACGGUGGGUACUAGGUGUGGGGUCCAUUCCACGGGUUCCGUGCCGUAGCUAACGCUUUAAGUACCCCGCCUGGGGAGUACGGCCGCAAGGCUAAAACUCAAAGGAAUUGACGGGGCCCCGCACAAGCGGCGGAGCAUGCGGAUUAAUUCGAUGCAACGCGUAGAACCUUACCUGGGUUUGACAUGGCUCGGGAGUGCUCAGAGAUGGGUGUGCCUCUUUUGGGGUCGGUUCACAGGUGGUGCAUGGCUGUCGUCAGCUCGUGUCGUGAGAUGUUGGGUUAAGUCCCGCAACGAGCGCAACCCUUGUUCACUGUUGCCAGCACGUUAUGGUGGGGACUCAGUGGAGACCGCCGGGGUCAACUCGGAGGAAGGUGGGGAUGACGUCAAGUCAUCAUGCCCCUUAUGUCCAGGGCUUCACGCAUGCUACAAUGGCUGGUACAGAGAGUGGCGAGCCUGUGAGGGUGAGCGAAUCUCGGAAAGCCGGUCUCAGUUCGGAUUGGGGUCUGCAACUCGACCUCAUGAAGUCGGAGUCGCUAGUAAUCGCAGAUCAGCAACGCUGCGGUGAAUACGUUCCCGGG
RNAcentral lists this ribosomal RNA (1343 nucleotides) under uncultured bacterium. RNAcentral describes it as "16S ribosomal RNA". It matches the Rfam family "Bacterial small subunit ribosomal RNA", at positions 28 to 1378 of the family's 1533-position model. The record is from RNAcentral.